GACGAACGCUGGCGGCGUGCUUAACACAUGCAAGUCGAACGGAAAGGCCCUGCUUUUGUGGGGUGCUCGAGUGGCGAACGGGUGAGUAACACGUGAGUAACCUGCCCUUGACUUUGGGAUAACUUCAGGAAACUGGGGCUAAUACCGGAUAGGAGCUCCCGCUGCAUGGUGGGGGUUGGAAAGUUUCGGCGGUAGGGGAUGGACUCGCGGCUUAUCAGCUUGUUGGUGGGGGAGUGGCUUACCAAGGCUUUGACGGGUAGCCGGCCUGAGAGGGUGACCGGCCACAUGGGGACUGAGAGACGGCGCAGACUCCUACGGGAGGCAGCAGGGGGGAAUAUUGCACAAUGGGCGGAAGCCUGAUGCAGCAACGCCGCGGGCGGGAUGACGGCCUUCGGGUUGUAAACCGCUUUCGCCUGUGACGAAGCGUGAGUGACGGUAAUGGGUAAAGAAGCACCGGCUAACUACGUG
RNAcentral lists this ribosomal RNA (468 nucleotides) under uncultured bacterium. Its description in RNAcentral is "partial 16S ribosomal RNA". It matches the Rfam family "Bacterial small subunit ribosomal RNA", at positions 28 to 507 of the family's 1533-position model. The record is from RNAcentral.